GGCCAUGUAGAUCAAUCGUAGAUCGCCACUCUCCUACGAUGGGCAAGUGGAGGUUGCGGGUUCAAGUCCCGCCAUGGUCU
Molecule: non-coding RNA, 80 nt
Organism: Diaporthe ampelina
Lineage: Eukaryota; Fungi; Ascomycota; Sordariomycetes; Diaporthales; Diaporthaceae
Source: Rfam